Molecule: long non-coding RNA, 96 nt
Organism: Alosa sapidissima (American shad)
Lineage: Eukaryota; Metazoa; Chordata; Actinopteri; Clupeiformes; Clupeidae
Exons: 4
Source: RefSeq, a predicted model, not a curated record
GACGUUUGACCACUAGGGGCUCUAUGAUUAGCAACACUUUCACCUAUUGCAACCAAACUUGGUAUGUGGACUUAGGAUCAAAGAUCAGAGCUAACU